RNAcentral lists this ribosomal RNA (433 nucleotides) under uncultured bacterium. Its description in RNAcentral is "partial 16S ribosomal RNA". It matches the Rfam family "Bacterial small subunit ribosomal RNA", at positions 29 to 507 of the family's 1533-position model. The record is from RNAcentral.
AACGAACGCUGGCGGCAUGCCUAACACAUGCAAGUCGAACGAGACCUUCGGGUCUAGUGGCGCACGGGUGCGUAACGCGUGGGAACCUGCCCUUAGGUUCGGAAUAACUCCCCGAAAGGGGUGCUAAUACCGGAUAAUGUCUUCGGACCAAAGAUUUAUCGCCUUUGGAUGGGCCCGCGUUGGAUUAGCUAGUUGGUAGGGUAAAAGCCUACCAAGGCGACGAUCCAUAGCUGGUCUGAGAGGAUGAUCAGCCACACUGGGACUGAGACACGGCCCAGACUCCUACGGGAGGCAGCAGUGGGGAAUAUUGGACCAUGGGCGAAAGCCUGAUCCAGCAAUGCCGCGUGAGUGAUGAAGGCCUUAGGGUUGUAAAGCUCUUUUAACCGGGAUGAUAAUGACAGUACCGGGAGAAUAAGCUCCGGCUAACUCCGUG